This is a long non-coding RNA of Mytilus californianus (California mussel), 237 nucleotides long. RefSeq lists it as uncharacterized. The transcript is spliced from 3 exons. The record is from RefSeq and is a predicted model, not a curated record. Lineage: Eukaryota; Metazoa; Mollusca; Bivalvia; Mytilida; Mytilidae.
CGCAAUACAGAAGAAAAAAUUGAAGUCAGUUGCCAAGAGUCCUACAGAAAAUAGAAGAGGACAAGCUAGUGGUUUACAGGAACUGUAUGGUGGACCAGGAGGAUCAGCUAUGGUUUUUCUACGUACAUGUUAUGAUGUAUCUAGCAUUUCUGCGAGAUGAAUGGUUUUUGGACAUUCCAUUUGGUUUUUUGCAACAGGAGUUUGCUGACAUUUGGAGUUAAAUUGAACAGUUUUAGU